CCCCCUAACACACAUCAUUUAUUGUCUUAAAUGAAAAACAAAGAGUCCUUUUUACAUUUUUUAGAGAAGACAAGUAUAGUUUUACUUUAUUUAGAUAUUCAGUAUCUAAGACGUCUGAAAAAGAAAAAGGGCUCUCUAACCACACAACUGUCAAACUCUUAUCAAAGAGCUAUUUACAGUUGCGUCUGCACAUUUGAAAAAAAAAAAAAACACACAGCAGUACAUAAAAACAAAUAGAAGUGUUUAAUUUAGCCUGCUGAUGAAUGCAGUAUACCCUAGAGUGCAGACACGCAACUGACAAACUGACAAAUAACACCCUGAAUAACUCUCGACAUGUUUGAGACAAAAUAAACUUUGUGGAAGACAGUUCUGCACAAUCAUUAUGGAUUUAUUAAAAAAAAAAUGUUUACUUUCAGCAUGCCACCUUUAUCAUAUAAACGUCCUCGACGAGGGUGAGGACUAAAGGCCAGACAGCCACGUCCUUGUAAUUUAUCUCCUGUUGGUAUGAGGGAUCGCAAGGAGUAACAGCUGAGGGAAAUGGACUUGUACAUCUACACAAAAAGUACAAGAUUAGACUUCAUAGCAGGCGCCUUUCAAGACACUCAAGGACACCUUACAAGCAAUUAAGUAUCAAAAUCACAAUAUGGAUAUAAUAACAGUUGGAAAACACCAUCGAAUUAAAAGUCAAUACAUCAAUAAAUACUACAUGUGUUGUGUGUAUUCACAUCUUAUAUUUGUUCUGCCUCCAGCUUGUUCUGCUUCAUUAUAAAAUUAUUUAGGGAUUUGAAAAGAGUUCUUUUAUUUGUUUUGGUUUUUUAAAACUCUUUUACUGUUUCACUCUUUCACAACUGGAGACUGGAAACCUAACAGGUUACAGUGGUGGUGUCCUAGCCUUGAUUGUGUGUGACUCUGUUUCAGUUCAGUAACCA
This is a long non-coding RNA of Oreochromis aureus, 929 nucleotides long. RefSeq lists it as uncharacterized. The record is from RefSeq and is a predicted model, not a curated record. NCBI's taxonomy places the organism in Eukaryota, Metazoa, Chordata, Actinopteri, Cichliformes, Cichlidae. The transcript is spliced from 3 exons.